GUUCAAGCAGCCGCGGUAACACGGGGGGAGCAAGCGUUGUUCGGAUUCAUUGGGCGUAAAGAGCUCGUAGGUGGCUCUGUAAGUCGGAGGUGAAAGCCCAUGGCUCAACCAUGGAUACGCCUUCGAAACUGUGGAGCUUGAGGCUGGGAGAGGAAAUCGGAAUUCCUGGUGUAGCGGUGAAAUGCGUAGAUAUCAGGAGGAACACCGGUGGCGAAGGCGGAUUUCUGGACCAGUUCUGACACUGAGGAGCGAAAGCCAGGGGAGCAAACAGGAUUAGAUACCCUUGUAGUCC
Molecule: ribosomal RNA, 292 nt
Filed under: uncultured bacterium
Lineage: Bacteria
Description: partial 16S ribosomal RNA
Rfam family: Bacterial small subunit ribosomal RNA
Source: RNAcentral